UGGGGAAUUUUGGACAAUGGGCGCAAGCCUGAUCCAGCCAUGCCGCGUGCGGGAAGAAGGCCUUCGGGUUGUAAACCGCUUUGUCAGGGAAGAAAUCUUCUGAGUUAAUACCUCGGGAGGAUGACGGUACCUGAAGAAUAAGCACCGGCUAACUACGUGCCAGCAGCCGCGGUAAUACGUAGGGUGCAAGCGUUAAUCGGAAUUACUGGGCGUAAAGCGUGCGCAGGCGGUUUUGUAAGACAGAGGUGAAAUCCCCGGGCUCAACCUGGGAACUGCCUUUGUGACUGCAAGGCUUGAGUGCGGCAGAGGGGGAUGGAAUUCCGCGUGUAGCAGUGAAAUGCGUAGAUAUGCGGAGGAACACCGAUGGCGAAGGCCAAUCCCCUGGGCCUGCACUGACGCUCAUGCACGAAAGCGUGGGGAGCAAACAGGAUUAGAUACCCUGGUAGUCCACGCCCUAAACGAUGCCAACUGGCUUGUUGGGGGAGGUUCCUUCUCAGUAACGUAGCUAACGCGUGAAGUUGACCGCCUGGGGAGUACGGCCGCAAGGUUGAAACUUAAAUGAAUUGACGGGGU
Molecule: ribosomal RNA, 573 nt
Filed under: uncultured bacterium
Lineage: Bacteria
Description: partial 16S ribosomal RNA
Rfam family: Bacterial small subunit ribosomal RNA
Source: RNAcentral